Non-coding RNA from Caenorhabditis elegans, 21 nucleotides. Lineage: Eukaryota; Metazoa; Nematoda; Chromadorea; Rhabditida; Rhabditidae. The record is from Ensembl.
UUAGUAAGCGGUCUAAGAAAG